This is a long non-coding RNA of Triticum aestivum (bread wheat), 1342 nucleotides long. RefSeq lists it as uncharacterized. The record is from RefSeq and is a predicted model, not a curated record. Lineage: Eukaryota; Viridiplantae; Streptophyta; Magnoliopsida; Poales; Poaceae. The transcript is spliced from 2 exons.
UGUCGUGACGACAAUUUAAAAAAAACUCUCCAGUGUUUCCCGACACAACCCGCGUCCCUCUCUCCAGUGUUGAGUCGCGACGGCGUCUCACUUUCCCCAUUCCCUAGUCGGCCACCACGGUUCACGGCCAGAUCCCGGCCAACUCCGGCCUGUCCUUGCCCUGCCGACCUUUGUCGCCACCCCCUCCUUCCCCUACCUCCGUCCAGUCCAUUUGCCCGCCAAUUCGCAGCCCCCAACAAACCCUGGCCACCGUCGACACUCACAAAUGCCAACUUUCUCACCGCGGAUUGCAUAGAGGAAGGAGAAAAUGCGAUUUUUGUGGUGGUGCGGCAGUGCGUGGUGGUGAUGCACGGAGACCGGCUGCCGAUGUGGCCGUCCAGGAGGCCAAGGUUCUCGCGGACGACGACGAGCAGGCCGCGGGUCCACGGACGAGGGACGCAGGAGGCCUGCUGUCGCCGAGCACCGCUUCUACUCGUGCGAGGAGCGCGUCCGGGUGCUCAAUCUGGAGUGCAUGGCGACAGCCUCAUCCCUGGUCGCCGCGCCGGGGGGAGGUGGCGGUGGCACAGUAACUCGAGCUCCCCUUCUUCGACCCAGCCCCCGAGCCCGAUGCCUCGUCUCCCCUCAGGACUACCUACCUAGCAGCAGCAGCAGAGGCUGGGCGAGUUCGUUUGGUCGAGGAAGAAAUACCAGCUGCAGGUGGUCGAUGCAGCAGUAGCAGUAGGCGUCAGUGGCGGGGCAGCAGCAGUAGUAGGCGUCGGUGGCGAGGAAGGAGCCGGCAGGGAAAGACCACCUCAGCAGCACAGCCGACGAGGAAGGAGCCGGCAGGGAAGGAGAGGCUGGGCCGGCGAUCGGUGUAUCCCAGCAACAGAGACGGGGCGCAGGGAAAGAUUGCGACGGAAUCGCAGAGGUUGACAGGGUUGCAGGUGCAGGUGGGCGGCGCCGCAGUGAUUGGUCGCGCAGGUGGGCGGCGGAAUCACGCAGCUGGGCGCCGGCAAGUGGUCGCGGUGGAUCGAGGACCAGCUCGCCUGGCGGUCACGGCGAUGGACGGCGGAAUCGGUGAGCAGCUGGUGGCGGGUGAGCGGCGGUGGGUGAUUGUGGGUGGGUUGCGAGCACCAGAAUCUCCAGCGCGGCGGAGGAAUCCCAUGGCGUCGGCCUCUGCCCCCUGGCGACGAGCGGGCGCUGGAUGGAGGAAGGAGAAAGAGUCAUGUACUUGUUUGCUACUAUUUUUAAAAUUGCGAGGUGUUUAUUGCAAAACAUCCACUAUACUGCGCCCGCGACAAUAAUUCUGGGGCGGAGGGAGUAGUAACUAGCACAAAUGCCCAUGCAUUGUAACAGGAGAAAA